This 333-nucleotide unclassified non-coding RNA is filed under the name soil metagenome. RNAcentral describes it as "partial contains 5.8S ribosomal RNA, internal transcribed spacer 2, and large subunit ribosomal RNA". The stretch from base 1 to 120 matches the Rfam family "5.8S ribosomal RNA", at positions 35 to 154 of the family's 154-position model. The record is from RNAcentral.
GAUGAAGAACGUAGCGAAAUGCGAUAAGUAAUGUGAAUUGCAGAAUUCAGUGAAUCAUCGAAUCUUUGAACGCACAUUGCGCCCGCCAGUAUUCUGGCGGGCAUGCCUGUUCGAGCGUCAUUUCAACCAUCAAGCCCUGCUUGCGUUGGGGUCCUGCGGCUGCCCGCAGGCCCUGAAAACCAGUGGCGGGCUCGCUAGUCACACCGAGCGCAGUAAUACAUCUCGCUCUGGGCGUGCUGCGGGUUCCGGCCGUUAAAAGCCUUAUUUACCCAAGGUUGACCUCGGAUCAGGUAGGAAGACCCGCUGAACUUAAGCAUAUCAAUAAGCGGAGGA